UAGUGGCGAACGGGUGAGUAACACGUGGGCAAUCUGCCCUUCACUCUGGGACAAGCCCUGGAAACGGGGUCUAAUACCGGAUAACACUCCUGCCUGCAUGGGCGGGGGUUAAAAGCUCCGGCGGUGAAGGAUGAGCCCGCGGCCUAUCAGCUUGUUGGUGGGGUAAUGGCCCACCAAGGCGACGACGGGUAGCCGGCCUGAGAGGGCGACCGGCCACACUGGGACUGAGACACGGCCCAGACUCCUACGGGAGGCAGCAGUGGGGAAUAUUGCACAAUGGGCGAAAGCCUGAUGCAGCGACGCCGCGUGAGGGAUGACGGCCUUCGGGUUGUAAACCUCUUUCAGCAGGGAAGAAGCGAAAGUGACGGUACCUGCAGAAGAAGCGCCGGCUAACUACGUGCCAGCAGCCGCGGUAAUACGUAGGGCGCAAGCGUUGUCCGGAAUUAUUGGGCGUAAAGAGCUCGUAGGCGGCUUGUCACGUCGGAUGUGAAAGCCCGAGGCUUAACCUCGGGUCUGA
Molecule: ribosomal RNA, 517 nt
Filed under: Streptomyces sp. 306C02
Lineage: Bacteria; Bacillati; Actinomycetota; Actinomycetes; Kitasatosporales; Streptomycetaceae
Description: bacterial SSU rRNA
Rfam family: Bacterial small subunit ribosomal RNA
Source: RNAcentral